GAUAUAGCUCAGUGGUAGAGCACUUGCCUAGCAUGUGCAAGGACCUGGUUUUGAUUCCCAGUGUC
This 65-nucleotide transfer RNA is filed under the name Ictidomys tridecemlineatus (thirteen-lined ground squirrel). Its description in RNAcentral is "Spermophilus tridecemlineatus (thirteen-lined ground squirrel) tRNA". It matches the Rfam family "tRNA". From Rfam's summary of the family: Transfer RNA (tRNA) molecules are approximately 80 nucleotides in length. Their secondary structure includes four short double-helical elements and three loops (D, anti-codon, and T loops). The record is from Rfam by way of RNAcentral. RNAcentral also lists the same sequence under 1 other name. Lineage: Eukaryota; Metazoa; Chordata; Mammalia; Rodentia; Sciuridae.